Non-coding RNA from Vicugna pacos (alpaca), 739 nucleotides. The record is from RefSeq and is a predicted model, not a curated record. Lineage: Eukaryota; Metazoa; Chordata; Mammalia; Artiodactyla; Camelidae.
CUGAUAAUCCAGUGUAAUAGCCAUGGGGAAUCUAUGAUGCCAGAGGAUCAAAUGAGAAAAUACCACCCAGUGUGAAGAGUAUGGGGAAGCUUGAUGAAGAGUAUGAUCGUAGUCGCAGUCAGGCCAGGUACUGACAGUUGAGUCCUGGGCCAAGGCUGCCAUCUUCCAUAUCUCAGCCUCCUGGGAUGCUGGGAAAGUUUCUCAGCAAAUGCCCACCCCGUCCUUCACCAGAGACGCACAUGGAGAAAUAGGCAUGUCCAGUCCCCGCCUUGCCUCACACCCAUGACUGUUCUCCAUCCACUCAACUCCUCAGCAUCACCUGCAGGACCUCCACAGAGAGCCUUGGCCUGAGACCUGGGGAGUGGGGCUGAAAGCAGGUGCAGAUCACCAGGGGAGCUUCCCAGGCAGGGUCAUGAGACCCCAGGAUGUCAGACUGAAAGAGACCUCAGGGAUCACCACUUUGGAACCCUGUGUUGCACACAUGGAUAAGCCUCAGCUCAGAGAGGUGGAGACACUGGCCCAGGGACCCACAGCAAGAUAAGUGCCCAGCUGGGACUGGAUGGGAGGAAGUGGUUCAGCGUUGGAACUCAAAUGCCCAGGUUCAAAUCUGGGUCUGUUGCUUACCAGCUGUGAGCCUAAGUCUCUGAACCCUCUGUGCCUCAGUGUCCUCAUUCUGGAGAAUGAAGAGAAUAAUGGAUCCUAUUUCAAAUGAUUGCCAGAAAUAAGCAUAUUCUAUGCA